UACUUGGUGGCGACCGGCGCAAGGGUGCGUAACGCGUGAGCAACAUGCCCGUAUCAGGGGGAUAAUCCAGGGAAACUUGGUCUAGUACCCCAUAGUAAUGUUUUCAGGCAUCUGGAGAUAUUUAAAGCUUUGGUGGAUACGGAUUGGCUCGCGUGACAUUAGUUAGAUGGUAAGGUAACAGCUUACCAUGACUAUGAUGUCUAGGGGUUCUGAGAGGAAGGUCCCCCACACUGGAACUGAGACACGGUCCAGACUCCUACGGGAGGCAGCAGUGAGGAAUAUUGGACAAUGGAUGGAAAUCUGAUCCAGCCAUGCCGCGUGCAGGAUGAAGGUCCUAUGGAUUGUAAACUGCUUUUGUAUGGGAGCAAUAAGGUCUUCGUGAAGGCCGAUGAGAGUACCAUACGAAUAAGCACCGGCUAACUCCGUGCCAGCAGCCGCGGUAAUACGGAGGGUGCAAGCGUUAUCCGGAUUUAUUGGGUUUAAAGGGUGCGUAGGCGGUGAUAUAAGUCAGCGGUGAAAGUUUUCAGCUCAACUGGAAAAAUGCCGUUGGUACUGUAUCGCUGGAAUAUGGUUGCUGUGAGUGGAAUGUGUAGUGUAGCGGUGAAAUGCUUAGAGAUUACACAGAAUAUCGAUUGCGAAGGCAGCUCACAAAGCCAUUAUUGACGCUGAGGCACGAAAGUGUGGGGAUCAAACAGGAUUAGAUACCCUGGUAGUCCACACUGUAAACGAUGAUAACUAGCUGUCGGCGAUACACAGUCGGUGGCCAAGCGAAAGCGAUAAGUUAUCCACCUGGGGAGUACGACCGCAAGGUUGAAACUCAAAGGAAUUGACGGGGGCCCGCACA
RNAcentral lists this ribosomal RNA (844 nucleotides) under uncultured bacterium. RNAcentral's name for it is "bacterial SSU rRNA". It matches the Rfam family "Bacterial small subunit ribosomal RNA", at positions 81 to 927 of the family's 1533-position model. The record is from RNAcentral.